CACUAGGAUCCGUUCAUGCAUAUCCACUUUAUGUUGCAGGUUCUCAUUAUGUCACUGCAGGUUCUCAUUAUGUCGCUUCAACUCUUCAUUUUCUUGAACAGUUCGUCGAUGUGCUGCUGAAGUUGACGGCCUCAAUUUCUUUUCUCUAGAUGUUGAGAUAACAUCAGCCUUCUUAAUCGCCCCAUCUGCUAUUGCUAGUCGCCCAUGGGGAAUGCCACCUAAUGAUUCAUAUAAUAUUUGCCCAUCCAACUCUCGCUGCUCCCAAUCAUCAGGAUGUGCGGCUCUAGCCAAAUCAGAGUAAUCAUCCUAGAAAACUAGCAAUAUUAACUUGUAUAGAUGCAUGUAGAACAAGUACUUAGUGAAAAGAAGAUAAGCAAGAACGUACAAAGCAUUUUUUUGCCUUCCCGCUGAGGGUCGUGCUGGUGCUACCACUGCCAUCCCAAUUCUUGAGUCCAGAUUUCAUUGCAGCAUAUGUAUUCAGCGUGGUAGCCUUCUCAGGUCCAUAUUUCUCAGCCUUCAAAACCAUAAAAAUUAAAUUAAUCCUAACCUGUUACAGUUUAUGAAAGAUAACAUACAUGCUUGACGCACCAGAAUUUGUCGAGCCUCCACAAAUGAAAGUGAACCUCCCCGAUUUUGAGCAACAUCUUCACUCUUGAAUCGGGAUUCCUACCCUCUCUUCCUUAAGGACUUGAACGUCUUUGAGCACCAAUAAGCACAAAGAUGAGGCCAUGCAUGUUCCUUAAACCAUGGUAUUCUGCACUCCAAGUAUUGGGCAUAUUCAAGUUCUUUUGAACAUGCCGAUGUGUCAUCAAGCCGCUCUCCUUGUUUCUCAAAGUAGAACUUCACAGCAUCCACACAAAGUUGAUACAUCGUGUCUCUCACUUUUUUCAUUGCGUAGUUGUCCAACACAAGAUCAGCAUCAUCCUCCACCUUGUCUAGAUCUUCAUCAUCUUUCACGUGGAUCUCAAACAAGUUCUACAAGUUUAUAGAUUUUCAUGUCAAAUAUGUAUGUGCAAUACAAAUUUUCAAAUUAACUCCCAAGUACCUGGAACUUACCCAAAAAACAUCCUUCACACGAUCUGCAGCAGCCUGCCCCUUAUCAUCUAGAGUAUCAUUAUCAUAAUAAUCAAACCACUCCAAAGCUGGGCGGGUUUUAAUGACAAUAUCACCUUCCUUCUUCUCAAUUAUCCCUGGGUGUUCUCGUUUAAGAAUGAUUCCAAGUUGCAUAUUAUACUUGUAGUGCUUGGAAUUUGGGUCAGCAUAUUUAAAUUUCCUAAACAACAAGAUAAGCACCAUUAACUAAGACGAUGAUAAUAUGAGUCAAGCAUAAAACUAACCAUGUGUUAAUAAACAACCAUACCUGUCACCUUCUGGCUUGUCCCACUUCCCAUAGUCCUUCAAUUUUAAGUGCAUCGAAGGACGGUUGCAAAUUUCAGCUAGAUCUUUUCUUGCCUUCACAUUAUCUUUAGUUUUAUCGGGAAUGUCAAAGCAUGUGUUAAAUAUAGCUUCAGCUGCAUUUCUUUCAUUGUGCAUCACAUCAAUGUUGUGUCGGAGCUUCAACUUUUUGAAGUAUGGAAGUUGCCAAAAGCAACUUAUGUGAGUCCAAUUGUGCAAUUUAUUGUAAUUGAAGGUGUCAUUCACAUGUGUGUACAUGUGAGUUUCCACUUCCUCUCCUGUUAAACACCUUGGUGGCCCUUCUAACACUAUUGUAUCCUUUCUAAAUGAAUUGGCUUGGAAUCUGAAUUCAUGAUCUGGAGGUAGAAAGUGCCUAUGACAAUCAAACCAGCAAGGCUUCCGCCCGUAUUGAAGAGUAAAUGCUUUGGAAUCACUCAUGCAUUCGGGGCAUGCUAGCUUGCCAUGGGUGCUCCACCCAGCAAACAUACCAAACGCAGGAAAGUCGUGGACUGACCAUAGAAAUGCCGCUUUCAUUGGGAAGUUUACCUUGUGAUAAGCAUCCCAUGUUUCAACCCCGUCCCACAAUUGCAUUAGUUCAUCAGCUAAAGGUUGCAUUAGGACACUCAAAUUUUUUCCAGGAUGUUCAGGACCAGGGAUAACAAGGCUAAGGAAUAUAUACUCUGGUUUCAAGAGAAUACCGGGUGGAAGGUUUAAUGGAGCUAUGAAAGUAGGCCAGCAAGUAUAUGGAGCAGCAUUCAACUUGUAUGGUGUAAAACCAUCACCAGCUAUGACAAGACGGACAUUUCUACGAUCUUCUGCAAAUUCUGAGAACUCCUUGUCAUACCCUUGCCAAGCUUCACCAUCAAUAGGGUGGACCAUCUUAUCAGAAUUGGAACGACUAUGCGACUGCAUAUGUUUUGCUAUUUCCUCAUGUGCAUACAACCUCUAUAAUCUAUCUUUCAGAGGGAGAUAUCUCAACACUUUACGUGGGACUUUAUUCUGGCCUUCCUCGUAGCGAGAUGUACCGCAGAUGUCACACUUCUCUUUAUGCUCAUUAUCUUUAUAGUACAACAUGCAAUUAUUUUUACAGACAUCAAUCUUGACAUAAGGCAUACCAAGGCCUUCUAAGAGUUUCUUAGAUUGGUAGAAGUCCUUGGACAAGUUAGCACCCGGAGGCAUAAGUUCAUGGAUGAUUUGUAACACAUCAUCAUAUUCUGCAAUUGACAUAUUAUACUGAGAUUUUAGUGCUAGCAAACGGGCUACUGCAGAAAGACGUGAGUGUGUUGUGUUCUCAUGGACAAUUUCAUCAGCACUGCUAACCAUCCUAUAGAAAGCCUUGGCAGAGGAGGUUGGUUCUUCAUCAAUUGGUGGAGGACAGUUGCCACCUAGGUCAACUAACAUAUUGUCCAUUCGGUCAAUUUCGUCGUGCCUCACACAAUUUGUGGCAGAGGAAGAUCCAUCUUGGCUAGGAACAUACUUCUCACCAUGUUCUAUCCACGUUUCAUAGUUUUCCCUAAACCCAUAUUUAUACAAGUGUUUCUCUACCUCAUCCCUGCCGCGCUUAUUAUAAUUAUGACACUUAGCACAUGGACACUUGAUUUUACCACAUUCGGCUACACCAGGACAAGAGAAUGCAUGGUCUAGAAAUCGGUUGGUUUGUUCAAGCCAUAAGUUAGAAGGUAUUUGACCAUACUGCCAACCACUAUACAUCCAUGCACAAUCUGCCAUCUAACAAAUUCUGUGUUGAAAGUGGAAUAUAUCAGCUAUUUGAUUAUUUAAUCUCAACACAUCAUACUUAAGAUGAGUUAUUCAGCAGCAGCAAUACAUGUGUAGCAAUUGGAAUCAAAUAGAUGUACACAUAAGAUAAACAUUUAAAGCUGAAAGUUAAAUGCUUACCAAAGGCUUGCUGAAAUAGUGAAAAAGUGUGGAGUCACCAAGCUGGCUAACAAACUCCCAAAGUCCACUAGCAGAUCCAAGAUCUAAGC
Molecule: long non-coding RNA, 3380 nt
Filed under: Triticum aestivum (bread wheat)
Lineage: Eukaryota; Viridiplantae; Streptophyta; Magnoliopsida; Poales; Poaceae
Description: long non-coding RNA (TAES_LNC011262)
Source: RNAcentral